RNAcentral lists this ribosomal RNA (407 nucleotides) under uncultured bacterium. Its description in RNAcentral is "bacterial SSU rRNA". It matches the Rfam family "Bacterial small subunit ribosomal RNA", at positions 356 to 773 of the family's 1533-position model. The record is from RNAcentral.
GGGGAAUAUUGCGCAAUGGGCGGAAGCCUGACGCAGCGACGCCGCGUGGGGGAUGAAGGCCUUCGGGUUGUAAACCUCUUUCAGCGGGGACGAAGCCUUCGGGUGACUGUACCCGCAGAAGAAGCACCGGCUAACUACGUGCCAGCAGCCGCGGUAAUACGUAGGGUGCGAGCGUUGUCCGGAAUUAUUGGGCGUAAAGAGCUCGUAGGCGGUUUGUCACGUCGGAUGUGAAAACCCGGGGCUUAACCCCGGGCCUGCAUUCGAUACGGGCUGACUAGAGUUCGGCAGGGGAGACUGGAAUUCCUGGUGUAGCGGUGAAAUGCGCAGAUAUCAGGAGGAACACCGGUGGCGAAGGCGGGUCUCUGGGCCGAUACUGACGCUGAGGAGCGAAAGCGUGGGGAGCGAAC